RNAcentral lists this long non-coding RNA (798 nucleotides) under Phoenix dactylifera (date palm). RNAcentral describes it as "long non-coding RNA (PDAC_LNC001459)". The record is from RNAcentral. Lineage: Eukaryota; Viridiplantae; Streptophyta; Magnoliopsida; Arecales; Arecaceae.
CUGCUUUGAAUCAGCCCAAGUUUCAUUAGUUUUCAUAUUAGCUUUGACCAUCACAAUGUUGCGUUGCACGAAGAAACCAUUAUCAACAUUUAUUUCUUUUAAGCAGACAAUUUCUCCAAGGUUUGAUGGAACCUGUAGGUCUUGUUCAUUAAAUUUAUGAGAAUCAUAAUAGGCAAGUUUUCCGACUUUUUUAACAUCCGACGGAAAUUCAGCAUCAAAAUAGCCUUCUUUUGAAGGAUCAGAAAUAGAUGUCACCUUUUCUUCUAACAUUAUAGCAGAAUCUUUUAUUUCAUUAAGCUCUUCCUUAAAAUGAGAAUCUCAAAAAGUUUUUUCCAUGACUAUCUUUUCUUCCACUAUAUCUUUACGACCUUGUACAUUAUAAAAUUAUUUAGGUAACUCCUUUAUCUCUUCUUUCAGUUCCAUUGCCACACAAAUGGACUUGAUCCUAUCUUUGCUGAAUUGUUGCCCUAUAUCCCAGUAUGAUCUUAAGGUACUUUAUUAUGGCUUUCAACUGAAAUAAGCUUCACUAUUCUUGCAUCUGCACGUCUGCCAGUUCUCUGAGAAAAGAGGUGCUUGACUUCUUUGUCUACAUUUCUUUUCUACAAGUCUUCCACCACAAAACAAAGAUCUUUCACCAACUUGAUUUUUGAAAAUCGAGAAGUUUCUUCCAUUUUUCCAAAUUCUUCUCUUGGAGUCUUUUUGAAAAUAGGUUGGUCAUAUCCAUUCUGAUGUUGAUAAUAGGAGAUACCUUAAACAAUUUCGUCAUCCCUUCCCAAUUGAUAAUACGAGCUUGGCCUC